Molecule: unclassified non-coding RNA, 1489 nt
Filed under: Hevea brasiliensis (rubber tree)
Lineage: Eukaryota; Viridiplantae; Streptophyta; Magnoliopsida; Malpighiales; Euphorbiaceae
Source: RNAcentral
GGGGGGGUGUGGUAUAUUCAUAAACCAUACAUCACCAUACUUCAAAUGCAAAAACUAUUAUCCAUACAACUCACAUAAACUUCAUUAACAUGUGGAGUUAAUUACUUUAUUUAUAAAUAUAUUACAAAAAAGAAAAAGAAAAAAAAAAACUGGAUCAUACUCAAUUCAGUUAAGAUCAAUACCAAUGCCGAUCUUCAUUUCAUCACAAUAAUCAAAGCAUAAACAAGAAUUGAAGAACAUUAUUAUAGAGACAAAUAUGUAAAAUCUAUGUGUAAAUCAAUAAGUACCCGGUGCAAGGAUGGAUGACAGAGGCUAAAUGGGGCAUUUCUCUGAAGAAAUGAAACCCUAAAUCCUUUAUCCUUUCCCUUUUAGAGAUGGAAGAGCAAUAAAGAGGGUACCGGAUAGGGUACCCAUUAAAUUAAAGAUAUCCAAACCCGAACCUGAUUAUAUAGAAAAAUCUGAAUCUGUCCGAAACCCGAUUAGAAUUACCUAUUACUACCCACACCCAUCUCAAGCCCAUUUACUACUAUCUGCAUACUACUCGAACCCGCCCGAACCCUACUUUUCACUUAAUCAGAUGAAACAGAUAAAAUAACAUGCUAACCAAAAUUAAUCAGAUAAAACAGCACAAUUUUGAAUACAGAGAACUUAUAAAUAAAAUCAUUCUAAACAAUCAAAUAAAAUUGGUUUGAAUUGAUUUUUCAGUCUCAAUCCUAAUAGGGAGCUUGGCAAUCUUAUGAUUAAAUAUGCAUUUCAUGCAUUUUGACGAGCUGGGGAGUCUUUUGCAUUCUGAAUGCAUUUUGAAGACACGUUCCUUUGCAAAAUCCUUUAAGGUGUUUCUUAAUUCUAUUUUUCUCAAAGCAAAAUUCUUAAAAGAAGAGUCGCAUUCCCAAUGCAGAUACAAUUGCCAAUAAUGUCUACUACUAUCAUACCAAGUGUCAGAACCUCCAGCAGCAAAAAUUAAUCUCUCUCCCAUCCAAGACAAACAGAGAAGAAAACAGAAAACAGACAAUGAAUCAUGCUUGUGCAGGGAUCUAUUAAAUUAAUACCCAAAUUUUAAGAAAAGAAAAGAAAAGAGAAAAAAAAAAACUCUCAAAAUUAAAGGGCACAAAAUGCAGCUAGUUUGAGCAGUAUAUAGAACUAGAACCUCAAAAAUUAAAGAAAGAAAUGAUUUACAUAGAUCUACAACACACAGAUUUUAGCAGUAAACUAGAACAAAGCCAAAAUAUAUAGAACUAAAAAAAUUAAUUUGCAAGCAAAAAAAAAUACAAGAUUUGUAAAUAAAACCCACAGAUAGCAGCAAGUUGAUGAGGUUGAGGAGCAGCUGUCCUGUGCGGAGGCGGGCUAAGGGAGAGGAAGGGAUGAGGGAUUCUGUGCAGAGGCGUAGACAAUGAAUCAGUGAGUGACUCGGACUAGCGAGAAAGAGAUAAGAGGGAAGGGAACUGCUAAGUGCUGACUGCUGAGGGUUUAGGGUUUAGAACACUUUGAC